CCUGAAUCAGUGUGUGUGUUAGUGGAAGCGUCUGGAAAGGCGCGCGAUACAGGGUGACAGCCCCGUACACAAAAAUGCACAUGCUGUGAGCUCGAUGAGUAGGGCGGGACACGUGGUAUCCUGUCUGAAUAUGGGGGGACCAUCCUCCAAGGCUAAAUACUCCUGACUGACCGAUAGUGAACCAGUACCGUGAGGGAAAGGCGAAAAGAACCCCGGCGAGGGGAGUGAAAAAGAACCUGAAACCGUGUACGUACAAGCAGUGGGAGCACAGAGCAAUCUGUGUGACUGCGUACCUUUUGUAUAAUGGGUCAGCGACUUAUAUUCUGUAGCAAGGUUAACCGAAUAGGGGAGCCGAAGGGAAACCGAGUCUUAACUGGGCGUUAAGUUGCAGGGUAUAGACCCGAAACCCGGUGAUCUAGCCAUGGGCAGGUUGAAGGUUGGGUAACACUAACUGGAGGACCGAACCGACUAAUGUUGAAAAAUUAGCGGAUGACUUGUGGCUGGGGGUGAAAGGCCAAUCAAACCGGGAGAUAGCUGGUUCUCCCCGAAAGCUAUUUAGGUAGCGCCUCGUGAAUUCAUCUCCGGGGGUAGAGCACUGUUUCGGCAAGGGGGUCAUCCCGACUUACCAACCCGAUGCAAACUGCGAAUACCGGAGAAUGUUAUCACGGGAGACACACGGCGGGUGCUAACGUCCGUCGUGAAGAGGGAAACAACCCAGACCGCCAGCUAAGGUCCCAAAGUCAUGGUUAAGUGGGAAACGAUGUGGGAAGGCCCAGACAGCCAGGAUGUUGGCUUAGAAGCAGCCAUCAUUUAAAGAAAGCGUAAUAGCUCACUGGUCGAGUCGGCCUGCGCGGAAGAUGUAACGGGGCUAAACCAUGCACCGAAGCUGCGGCAGCGACACUGUGUGUUGUUGGGUAGGGGAGCGU
RNAcentral lists this ribosomal RNA (926 nucleotides) under Escherichia coli. RNAcentral describes it as "partial 23S ribosomal RNA". It matches the Rfam family "Bacterial large subunit ribosomal RNA", at positions 311 to 1239 of the family's 2925-position model. The record is from RNAcentral. Lineage: Bacteria; Pseudomonadati; Pseudomonadota; Gammaproteobacteria; Enterobacterales; Enterobacteriaceae.